RNAcentral lists this ribosomal RNA (426 nucleotides) under Olsenella profusa. Its description in RNAcentral is "bacterial SSU rRNA". It matches the Rfam family "Bacterial small subunit ribosomal RNA", at positions 28 to 453 of the family's 1533-position model. The record is from RNAcentral. Lineage: Bacteria; Bacillati; Actinomycetota; Coriobacteriia; Coriobacteriales; Atopobiaceae.
GAUGAACGCUGGCGGCGCGCCUAACACAUGCAAGUCGAACGGUUAAAGCAUCUUCGGAUGUGCAUAAAGUGGCGAACGGCUGAGUAACACGUGGGCAACCUGCCCCUCGCAUCGGGACAGCCUCGGGAAACCGUGGUUAAUACCGGAUACUCCGCCACCCCCGCAUGGGGGAGGCGGGAAAGCCCAGACGGCGAGGGAUGGGCCCGCGGCCUGUUAGCUUGUUGGUGGGGCAGUGGCCCACCAAGGCGAUGAUGGGUAGCCGGGUUGAGAGACCGACCGGCCAGAUUGGGACUGAGACACGGCCCAGACUCCUACGGGAGGCAGCAGUGGGGAAUCUUGCACAAUGGGCGAAAGCCUGAUGCAGCGACGCCGCGUGCGGGACGAAGGCCUUCGGGUCGUAAACCGCUUUCAGCAGGGACGAGGCCG